AGGGAGAAAGGCUACAUGGUACGGCCCCUCAAUACUGGAUCCAUCUUCAACAUGUGCUUGGCCAGAACCUACAUCUACCUACCCCUUGGUAGCAAAAUUUCCCAAUGCACAGACUUUUUUAAGGAGCUGAAUUAAACUUAGGUGAAUAUCCUAAACUGUCAGUUUACUGCUGAGAACAUGCUGCUUAUCAAGCCAGGCUCCCAGCAAGAGUCCAUAUCCUUGGAUUUUCAAUGACAACAAGAUAUUCCCUAUAACCCAGGAGCUACAGAGUUUCACUCUUGUUGCCCAGGUUGGAGUGCAAUGCUGCGAUCUCAGCUCACUGCAACCUCCGCCUCCUGGGUUCAAGCGAUUCUCCUGCCUCAGUCUCCCGAGUAGCUGGGAUUACAGAUACACUGAAGAGAGGUCACAGGGAGAGAGACAGGAAACCAGCGAUGGACCCCAGUAGAAGGACAGGGUGGACGAUGCUUAGGAAGAUCAUGACGACUCUGCUUUCAUUUCCCACAUCCCUAUCCCGCCAGAGGUGAAAAUCAGAGAGGACUUAGUUGGAUGCAUUCUGGACACAAACGCUCUGAAGCUAAUAAAAUUCAAUAUAAUUGGCCCAUCCAAUUAUGUUAGAAUCUAAUAAAAUGUAGUUGUAUAUAUAUAUGACAACAGAAA
Homo sapiens (human) is the source of this 657-nucleotide long non-coding RNA. The record is from Ensembl. NCBI's taxonomy places the organism in Eukaryota, Metazoa, Chordata, Mammalia, Primates, Hominidae.